UGGGGAAUUUUGGACAAUGGGCGAAAGCCUGAUCCAGCAAUGCCGCGUGUGUGAAGAAGGCCUUCGGGUUGUAAAGCACUUUUGUCCGGAAAGAAAUCCUCUGGGUUAAUACCUCGGGGGGAUGACGGUACCGGAAGAAUAAGCACCGGCUAACUACGUGCCAGCAGCCGCGGUAAUACGUAGGGUGCAAGCGUUAAUCGGAAUUACUGGGCGUAAAGCGUGCGCAGGCGGUUUUGUAAGACGGAUGUGAAAUCCCCGGGCUUAACCUGGGAACUGCAUUCGUGACUGCAAGGCUAGAGUAUGGCAGAGGGGGGUAGAAUUCCACGUGUAGCAGUGAAAUGCGUAGAGAUGUGGAGGAAUACCGAUGGCGAAGGCAGCCCCCUGGGCCAAAUACUGACGCUCAUGCACGAAAGCGUGGGGAGCAAACAGGAUUAGAUACCCUGGUAGUCCACGCCCUAAACGAUGUCAACUAGUUGUUGGGGAUUCAUUUCCUUAGUAACGUAGCUAACGCGUGAAGUUGACCGCCUGGGGGAGUACGGUCGCAAGAUUAAAACUCAAAUGAAUUGACGGGGUCAUAGCUG
RNAcentral lists this ribosomal RNA (581 nucleotides) under uncultured bacterium. RNAcentral describes it as "partial 16S ribosomal RNA". It matches the Rfam family "Bacterial small subunit ribosomal RNA", at positions 355 to 932 of the family's 1533-position model. The record is from RNAcentral.